GUUGUCCUGUAGCUGGCUCAGUGAUGGUUCACUUCUCAGCUUCUUUGGAAGUUGCUCUUUGGUUGGGGUAUUCAGUGUGACAGGCUAGCUGCAGACACAGCCAUUGACCUGAGGAGAAGGGGAGUGGCCUCUGUCAGUCUAUGACCUUGAGUAGUUCAGAGUUGGUGUCUCAACUCAUCAUCAUUGAGAAGGAUUCUCCACCAGGUAUUUAUCCUAAGAGAUGCAUUUGCCAAUGAAGACACCACAGAGCUGAGUGGGAAGUGCAUUGUGGAGAUGGCGGAAAGGUACAUUACAUUUACAUUAUACUACAGCAUGUACAUGGUCAUGCACCGUUAUACACUCAGUGGCGAGUUUAUUAGGUACACCACCCCAUUCACAAAAAUGGUUAGCAUCUACAGAGAGUUAGUCACGUGGUCGUGGCUUGCUAUAUAAAGAAGGCAGACAAGCAUGAAGGCAUUCAGUUACUGUUCGAAUGAAACAUUAGAAUGGGUAAAACUAGUGACCUGAGCAACUCUGAGCGUGGUAUGAUCAUCAGGUCAGGCGCGCUGGUCCCAGCAUCUCAGAAACAGCCGGCCUCCUGGACUUUUCACGCACAACAGUGUCUAGGGUUUACUGAGAAUGGUGCGACAAACCAAAAACAUCCUCGGUCCUCU
This is a long non-coding RNA of Oncorhynchus gorbuscha (pink salmon), 653 nucleotides long. RefSeq lists it as uncharacterized. The transcript is spliced from 3 exons. The record is from RefSeq and is a predicted model, not a curated record. Lineage: Eukaryota; Metazoa; Chordata; Actinopteri; Salmoniformes; Salmonidae.